This 113-nucleotide small nucleolar RNA is filed under the name Mastacembelus armatus (zig-zag eel). Its description in RNAcentral is "Small nucleolar RNA SNORD67 (ENSMAMG00000015778.2)". It matches the Rfam family "Small nucleolar RNA SNORD67". From Rfam's summary of the family: snoRNA HBII-166 belongs to the C/D family of snoRNAs. The record is from Rfam by way of RNAcentral. Lineage: Eukaryota; Metazoa; Chordata; Actinopteri; Synbranchiformes; Mastacembelidae.
CGUGACAGUGACGAGUUGCACUAGUAGUCGGGUUGCUGAAUGCAGUGGCACAGCAGACCUGUCCCGACAGCCCGUGGUGACAACUGAUGUGCACAGGGGCCAUCUGAGUCAAU